This is a long non-coding RNA of Oncorhynchus tshawytscha (Chinook salmon), 308 nucleotides long. The record is from Ensembl. Lineage: Eukaryota; Metazoa; Chordata; Actinopteri; Salmoniformes; Salmonidae.
AGGCCAUAAGUGCUUAGGUUAAAGGACAUGAGUGCUUAGGGUAAAGGCCAUAAGUGCUUAGGGUAAAGGACAUGAGUGCUUAGGGUAAAGGACAUAAGUGCUUAGGGUAAAGGACAUAAGUGCUUAGGGUAAAGGACAUAAGUGCUUAGGGUAAAGGACAUAAGUGCUUAGGUUAAAGGACAUAAGUGCUUAGGGUAAAGGACAUAAGUGCUUAGGUUAAAGGCCAUAAGUGCUUAGGGUAAAGGACAUAAGUGCUUAGGUUAAAGGACAUAAGUGCUUAGGUUAAAGGACAUAAGUGCUUAGGGUAA